AUGCAGAUUUUCAUAAAGACCCUUAUGGGAAAGACCAUCACACUCGAGGUUGAACCUUUGGACAUUAUAGAAAAUGUAAAAGCCAAGAUCCAGGAUAAGGAAGGAAUUCCUCCUGAUCAGCAAAAGCUGAUCUUUGCUGGUAAGCAGCUGGAGGAUGGACGAACUUUGUCUGACUACAAUGUUCAAAAGGAGUCUACCCUUCAUCUUGCACUGAGACUUCGUGGUGGUGCUAACACCAAUCCCAAGAAGAAUAAGCCUAAGAGAAAGAAGUUGGUCAUCCUGAAACACCAGAAGGUGAAUGAAAAUGGCAAAAUUAGUCACCUUCAUUGAAAGUGCCCUUCUGAUGAGUGUGGAGCUGGAGUUUUCAUGGCCAGCCACCUUACAGACAUUACUGUGGUAAGUAUUGUCUGACUUACUGCUUCAAAAAACAAAAAGACAAAUAA
This is an RNA transcript of Nannospalax galili (Upper Galilee mountains blind mole rat), 443 nucleotides long. It is a transcript of the gene named ubiquitin-like, with no coding region annotated. NCBI's taxonomy places the organism in Eukaryota, Metazoa, Chordata, Mammalia, Rodentia, Spalacidae. The transcript has a single exon. The record is from RefSeq and is a predicted model, not a curated record.